AUUGAACGCUGGCGGCAUGCCUUACACAUGCAAGUCGAACGGCAGCACGGGAGCAAUCCUGGUGGCGAGUGGCGAACGGGUGAGUAAUACAUCGGAACGUGCCCAGUAGUGGGGGAUAGCCCGGCGAAAGCCGGAUUAAUACCGCAUACGACCUACGGGUGAAAGCGGGGGACCGCAAGGCCUCGCGCUAUUGGAGCGGCCGAUGUCAGAUUAGCUGGUUGGUGGGGUAAAGGCCUACCAAGGCGACGAUCCGUAGCUGGUCUGAGAGGACGACCAGCCACACUGGGACUGAGACACGGCCCAGACUCCUACGGGAGGCAGCAGUGGGGAAUUUUGGACAAUGGGCGCAAGCCUGAUCCAGCCAUGCCGCGUGCGGGAAGAAGGCCUUCGGGUUGUAAACCGCUUUUGUCAGGGAAGAAAAGUUCUGGGUUAAUACCUCGGAGCGAUGACGGUACCUGAAGAAUAAGCACCGGCUAACUACGUGCCAGCCGCCGCGGUAA
Molecule: ribosomal RNA, 500 nt
Filed under: uncultured bacterium
Lineage: Bacteria
Description: partial 16S ribosomal RNA
Rfam family: Bacterial small subunit ribosomal RNA
Source: RNAcentral